UACGUAGGGUGCGAGCGUUGUCCGGAAUUAUUGGGCGUAAAGAGCUUGUAGGCGGUUUGUCGCGUCUGCCGUGAAAGCCCAGGGCUUAACCCUGGGUCUGCGGUGGGUACGGGCAGACUAGAGUGUGGUAGGGGAGACUGGAAUUCCUGGUGUAGCGGUGAAAUGCGCAGAUAUCAGGAGGAAUACCGGUGGCGAAAGCGACUCUCUGGACGGCAACUGACGCUGAGGCACGAAAGCGUGGGGAGCAAACAGG
Molecule: ribosomal RNA, 253 nt
Filed under: uncultured bacterium
Lineage: Bacteria
Description: partial 16S ribosomal RNA
Rfam family: Bacterial small subunit ribosomal RNA
Source: RNAcentral